UGGGGAAUCUUGCACAAUGGGGGAAACCCUGAUGCAGCGACGCCGCGUGAGCGAUGAAGCCCUUCGGGGUGUAAAGCUCUUUCGGCAGGAACGAUAAUGACGGUACCUGCAGAAGAAGCUGCGGCUAACUACGUGCCAGCAGCCGCGGUAAUACGUAGGCAGCAAGCGUUGUUCGGAAUUACUGGGCGUAAAGAGUGUGUAGGUGGUGUCGUAAGUUUGGUGUGAAAUCUCCCGGCUUAACUGGGAGGGU
RNAcentral lists this ribosomal RNA (250 nucleotides) under uncultured bacterium. Its description in RNAcentral is "partial 16S ribosomal RNA". It matches the Rfam family "Bacterial small subunit ribosomal RNA", at positions 355 to 622 of the family's 1533-position model. The record is from RNAcentral.